This 6660-nucleotide ribosomal RNA is filed under the name Triticum aestivum (bread wheat). RNAcentral's name for it is "partial small subunit ribosomal RNA". Lineage: Eukaryota; Viridiplantae; Streptophyta; Magnoliopsida; Poales; Poaceae. The record is from RNAcentral.
AUGGGACGCCCGGAGCCGGUCGUGCUGUUCGCGCAGACGAUCCUCCACUCUCAGCUGGACGAGUACGUCGACGAGGUGCUAUUUUCUGAACCUGUUGUGAUUACUGCCUGUGAGUUUCUUGAGCAAAAUGCUGCUCCUUCUACACCAAACAUAUCUCUUGUUGGUGCAACAUCCCCACCAUCAUUUGCUUUGGAAGUCUUUGUUCACUGCGAUGGGGAGUCUCGAUUUAGGCGCCUUUGCCUGCCUUUCUUGUAUUCACACUCCUCGUCCAAUGUGCUUGAAGUUGAGGCUAUUGUAACAAAUCAUCUAGUGCUGCGGGGAACUUAUCGCAGUCUCACUCUUGUAAUUUAUGGGAAUACUGCCGAAGACCUUGGUCAGUUCAACAUAGAACUAGGCCUAGAUCAUUCUCUUGCCAAUGUGGUUAGCUCUCCGUCAGAGGGAAAAUUUGAAGACCUUCCACCGGCACUACGUUCAUCCAAAUUCAAAUUUGAAGAGUCAUUAUCUUCGAUCAAACCAUUGAGUUUUCAGUCCACAGAUUUGGACUUGUCACUUGAAGUGAAGAAAAUACUAUAUUUAGCUCUCAAAAUGCACCAAAUACCCAAUGUGGAGAAUCUGAUCCCUGACCUAGGAAGUGCAGUUAUCUCAGCUGUUUCAAAAUAUGUGACUAAUUCGAACUGCAUGCCACAUAGUUGGAAUCAAGACUUGGCAGAUGGCUUCAGCAAGAGUAAUCUUGAUCCUCAGGAAAGUAAUAAUGUUCACACUGAAGCUAGCAAUGAGCUGUUUGAAAUUUGGAAAAAUGUCCAUUCUGUCGCUGCUACUCGUUUUGGUGAUGAUGGCUUUGCCGUCGGAUUGGAGGAGUUGCCUACGACUAAAACGAUACUUGAGUUGUUUAACAAUAGUUUCCCAUAUUAUAGAAACUGUUCGUUACUUGAUCUACAAUGCCCUUCUCAGAAUAACUGGUUGGUGAUGUCCCUGAGUUUGGUUCUCCUAAUAUGCUCCUCAAAAGAGAGUUGCUUUUAUUUUGUUGAUGCUGGUGGGAUGGAGCAAAUCAUUAAUCUGCUUUGCUGGAAUACACCCAAAUCUACAGCUACUACAUUGCUUCUCCUAGGUAUUGUUGAGAAUGCUACUCGGCAUGGUGUUGGAUGUGAAGCGUUCUUGGGAUGGUGGCCACGAAGUGAUCGGAACAGUAUACCCACCGGCAGCAGUGAUGGCUACUGUUCUUUGUUGAAGCUUCUACUGGAAAAAGAAAGACAUGAUAUCGCCUCUCGUGCUACAUAUGUUCUUCAACGUUUGCGUUUUUAUGAGAUACUAUCUAGAUACGAGUCUGCCGUGAUCAAAGUGGUUUCCAAUCUGCCUUCUGAUGAACUUUCCGCGGACAGAGUUUCUUUUCUUAUUUUUGCAAGUAGCGAGCUUGCCGAAAUGUCGAAAUUGAUAAAGAUAUGUGGCCCUAUUGAAGAUCCUUCGCCAGAGGCUAUUGCUAGAAGAAUAUCCAAGUCUAGUCAUUUGGAAGAUUCACUUUCAUUCAAAGCAACAAUUGGUCUUAUAACUUCUUCCAAGUACAGUUUCUUGCAAUUUGACACCGAUUCAUGUUUGUUAUCUCUUAUCCAGGAAAGAGGUUUUUUCCCUCUGUCAGCAGCUUUAUUAUCAUCACCUGUAAUGCAUUUGGCAAGUGGGCCUGCUGCUGAAAUAUUGAUGGAGAUCACAUCGUCAAUUGAAUCCAUUCUCCUCUCCCUUCUUUUUUGUCGCUCAGGGUUAUCUUUUUUGCUCAGUCAACCUGAAGCAACUGAGCUUAUAGUUCUUUCUCUUCAAGAUGGUAAAGAUAUGAAUAAAACAGAAUGCAUAACUCUUAGGCAUGCCUUCGUUCUUCUGUCAAAAGGAUUCUUCUGCCGCCCCCAGGAAGUUGGAAUGAUCACAGAGCUACAUCUUAAAGUGGGAAGUGCUGCCAAUAGGCUACUUGCAGUUCCUCCAAAUUCUGAUGAGCUUUUAUGGGUUCUUUGGGAACUUUGUGCCAUUUCGAGGUCCGAUUCUGGUCGCCAAGCAUUAUUAGCUCUUGGCUACUUCCCUGAGGCAAUAUCAGUUCUGUUGAGUUCCAUCUCUAAAUACAAGGAUCUCGAUUCAACCAUGAUUAAAAAUGGAGGAUCUCCAUUGGGUCUUGCUAUCUUCCAUUCAGCAGCGGAAAUUCUUGAAGUCUUGGUUGCAGAUUCAACUGCUUCAUCACUCAAGUCAUGGAUUGGAUUUGCUGUUGAUCUGCACAAGGCGUUGCAUUCGUCUUCUCCAGGUUCAAACAGGAAAGAUGCUCCAACAAGGUUGCUUGAAUGGAUUGAUGCUGGUGUUAUAUAUCAGAGAAAUGGUGCUGUUGGGCUUCUUCGUUAUUCUGCUAUUCUAGCUUCUGGUGAAGAUGCCCAUUUUUCUUCUGGAAAUGUGCUCGUGUCAGAUUCAAUGGAUGUUGAGAAUGUGGUUGCAGAUUCAAAUAAUACUUCAGAUGGUCAAGUCAUUGAUAAUCUUCUUGGGAAGCUUGUUACAAACAAGUACUUUGAUGGAGUUGCUUUGUGCAGCACUUCUGUGGUUCAAUUGACAACAGCCUUCCGCAUUUUAGCAUUUAUUUCAGAAGAUAAGGCUGUGGCUUCUUCCCUGUUUGAAGAAGGUGCGAUUACUGUUAUAUACAUAGUCCUGAUGAACUGCAAGUCUAUGCUUGAACGCUUGUCAAACAGCUACGAUUACCUUGUUGAUGAAGGUGCUGAACUAAGUUCCACCACAGAAUUGCUUUUAGACCGAACUCAUGAACAAGCCCUUGUUGAUCUCAUGACUCCUUCUCUUGUGUUGCUGAUAAACCUCCUUCAGAUAUUACAUGGAACAAAGGAACAAUACCGCAACAAAAAACUUCUUACUGCUCUUCUGCGGCUGCACCGAGAAGUCAGCCCAAGACUAGCAGCUUGUGCGGCCGAUCUGUCUUUCAUGUUACCUAGUUUUGCUGUAAGCUUUGGUGUGGUUUGCCAGCUUAUUACCUCAGCACUUGCUUGCUGGCCACUGUAUAAUUGGACACCUGGCCUAUUUCAUUGCCUUCUUGAAAAUGUUGAGCCUACUAAUGCAUCAGUACCAUUAGGUCCAAAAGAUGCCUGCAGCCUUCUUUGUCUCUUGGGUGAUCUUUUCCCAGAUGAAGGCAUAUGGAUGUGGAAUGUCGAAGUUCCUUCUCUGAGUGCUAUUAGAUCUUUGAGUACUGCAACAAUUCUAGGGCCUCAAGUUGAGAAACAUGUGAACUGGCACCUGCGCCCUGAACAUGUGUCUGUAUUACUUGUAAGGUUGAUGCCACAACUUGAUAGACUUGCACGUGUCAUUGACAACUUUGCUACUUCGGCCUUGAUGGUGAUACAAGACAUGCUCCGGAUCUUCAUUGUUCGUGUUGCCUCUGAAAAGAUUGAGUGUGCGGUGGUUCUUCUGCGACCAAUUUUUAUUUGGUUGAAUGACAAGGUUGAUGAAGCUUCCCUGUCAGAGGGGGAGGUCUUUAAGGUGCAUCAGUUACUUAAGUUCAUUGCAAAAUUGUCAGAACAUCCAAAUGGCAAGGUAUUGCUAUGGAAAAUGGGAAUUGCACGGGUUCUUAAUAAGUUGCUAAAGAACUGCAGCAACGCAUCUUACUUGGAAGAUAAGACGAUCUCUGAAAGAGGAGCCUACAGAAGUGACCAACUUAUGCUCAAAUGGAGGAUUCCCUUAUUCAGAUGUCUCGCAUCUAUCUUCAGUGCCCAGCCAUCUGGCAAAGAGCAGACUGCUAUUGAAGAGUCUUCAGAGAAUGCUAGCGUUGAGGAGUGCUCUUCUAUCAUGCAUCACCUCUUGGUCUUAUGCCAGGUUUUACCAGUUGGACGGGAAAUGUUUGCUUGUUCCAUGGCAUUCAAGGAAGUGGCUUCUUCCUAUAUCUGUAGAAGUGCAGUGCCUUUGAUAUUUUCACAACUCCAAACUCUUAACCAAGAUGAUGAGGAGAAAACUGAGAGUGACACUUAUCAUGACCCACCAAAUAUGGAUAACUGGCGCUGCUUUACCCCUUUAUUGAAGUGCUUCAAGCGACUCCUGAAAUGUGUUGACGCUAAUAAUCCAACAGAUCAUUGUGUAGAAACAGUUUAUUCUUUUAUACUCGGUGCUAUUGCCCUUAGCCAGUACGGUGACAGUCUUGAGGGUCCCAUCAUAUUGAGGUGUCUAUUUGGGCACCCCUUUGAACGUAGUCUUGCAUUGAAAUCCUCUGGCGAUAGUUUGGAUGAGAGUACAGUUUUAGUGAAGACUUUUGAGGAGAAAAUAUCCCAGGGCUAUGAUCAUUUGUCAAAUUCUGUUGGAAAGAGUCUUAUAAAUCAGGUUCAGAGUUCCAUCACAUUACUGUGCUCUAUUCUUGAGAAUGCUGGCCUAUUAGAAGAUUCAGUGCAGAUGGUUCUUGAAGGCACUUACUUGCCAUUUGGAGUGGUUCGUUCUGUUGUCAUGACAUCUCGUCUAAUGCCAUCCCUAGCCAGUGUGUCUGUGAAUCAUGAAUCUGUUCUCUUCUUUUCAAAUGCUUGGAAGGUUAUUGCUGAUUCAGAAGAACCGGUUGAGGGUGAAUUUUCGAAGAGGUUGGUGUGGGAGUUGCCCGAUUCUUCUCUUGAUAGACAGCUAAUUGCUAGUCAAUCUGCUAGCAGAAAACUGGCAUUAGGAGAGGCUGCAAGUAGACGUAUAAAAGACAAUCAAGCACCUGAACCUACUGGACAGUUUGCUCGAAGUUUAAAUACAACUAGCGCCUCUACAGGUCAUGCACGCAGAGAUACUUUCCGUCAUCGGAAACCAAACACAAGUAGACCACCUUCAAUGCAUGUAGAUGAUUAUGUUGCAAGAGAGAGGAACAUAGAUGGUGCAAGCAGUGCAUCAAAUAUUGUAAAUUCUACUCCGCGCGGAACACUUAGUGGAAGACCUCCAUCUAUUCAUGUAGAUGAAUUUAUGGCUAGGCAGAGGGAGCGUCAAAAUCCUGUGCCAGCCCCAUCUGGGGAUGCACCCCAAGUAAAGAGUCAGACAAGUUUGGAUGACAAUGUCCGUGUUAAGACGGAGAAACCGCGACAACCCAAGGCGGAUCUUGAUGACGAUCAAGAAAUUGAUAUUGUCUUUGAUGAGGAAUUGGAGUCAGAUGACAAACUACCUUUUCCUCAACCGGAUGAUAAUCUACAACCACCUGUCAUUGUUGGGGAAAAUUCUCCAGGUCCAGUUGUUGAGGAGACAGAGAAUCAGCAGAAUGAAAAAAGUCCCUUUUCUCAGAGGGACAUACCUGUCUCAAUGAACAAUGAGAGUCUUGGUGCUGACAUAUCUUCUCGGACAGCUAUGCUUCCAGAAGCUAAUGUUCCUUUGGAGCGAAAAGGUUCAGUUUCUAGCCCAGCCCCGGAGAAGAGCGCGUUCAGUGAUCAUGCUGAUGAACCUGCAUACUUUUCCUCUCAUAACAAGCGUCCUGCAGAAGCACCUCUGCAACAAUUGCGUCCUAAUACUUAUCAGAAGAGAAGUGUACAUAAGUUGUCUGAGAGUUCUCUGUCAUCUGGAUCUCAUGGGCACGAUCAUAGGCUUUCCAGAAACCAACCACCUCUGCCACCAAUGCCACUACCAACUUCUUCCAUGCCUACACGAAGUCCUGAGUCAAGUCAAAGGAGGUCAUCAUCUUACAACGCUAGGGACAGCGCUAGGGAUGGACCACUAGCUUACCCAUCUAAUUAUCCUGUACAACCUUUUGAGGCUAGUAUGCCUACCGCUUUUGUAGGGCUUCAGGGUCAAACUGAACAUGCCCUAGCAAGCAAUGGUACUUCAUCAUCGAAUGCUCCUAAUGCAGACGCCAAUUUCUUGUGGAACAAUUUUCCAGUGAAUAGGGUCCCUAUGGAGCACUUCAACUCUGGUUCAUCUGGCCGACCAAUGGCACCCCUUGCUCAACCUUAUUCAACCCAACAUUCUGCAAUGAGCUCUGGCUCUCCUGCAUCUCAUCUGUAUAAUCAAGGCACUAGUGUUGUCCAUCCUAACCCGUCUUCAUCUCUUAUGAACGAUGGAAAUUUAGGCAUAAAUUCUGCAUCUGGCAGCGCAAUUCUGUCCAAUUUGUUGCCAUCAUUUGCAUCGCAAUUUCUAAUGGGUAGGCCUCCAAUGUCUAGUCCAUUUUUCGGAACACCUCUCCAACAUGUUCAACUCUCAUCUGGCCUUCCACAGAGUGGUUCCAAUCCUCAGCCUUCUGUUUCUUCAAUGCAAGCACGGCCACCUCCACCGCCACCACUACCUCAGCAGCCUCAUCCAUCCCAGACCCAGCAACAUCUUGCUUCUCUUCAAUGGCAGCAACAGCAGGAGCAGCCUCAGUCAUAUGCACAAAAUAGUAUCCAGUCGCAGAUGACUUUGCAGUUUCAGAACCAACUUCCUGUUCCUCAGAUGCAAUUUUACCCGAGUCAGCAGGACUUUGCGGCGCAAACGCUGAGACAAGCGGGUGAACAAUCGCAAGUUGCUAGCCAGACUGCACAAGUGGAUGGUUCAUCUCAACAGCAGAAAGAACCGGAGAUCGAUCUGAGCCACUUCUUCUCGUCUCAAGAAGCAAUCCAGAGCCUUCUAAGCGAUCGUGCGAAGCUUUGCCAACUUCUGGAGGCUAACCCCAAACUGAUGCAAAUGCUUCAGGAUCGCAUUGGCGGCAGCAAAUAG